This 290-nucleotide ribosomal RNA is filed under the name uncultured Glomeromycotina. RNAcentral describes it as "partial 18S ribosomal RNA". It matches the Rfam family "Eukaryotic small subunit ribosomal RNA", at positions 804 to 1092 of the family's 1831-position model. Lineage: Eukaryota; Fungi; Glomeromycota. The record is from RNAcentral.
UUAGCAUGGAAUAAUGGAAUAGGACAAUGGUUCUAUUUGUUGGUUUCUAGGACCGUUGUAAUGAUUAAUAGGGAUAGUUGGGGGCAUUAGUAUUCAAUUGUCAGAGGUGAAAUUCUUGGAUUUAUUGAAGACUAACUUCUGCGAAAGCAUUUGCCAAGGAUGUUUUCAUUAAUCAAGAACGAAAGUUAGGGGAUCGAAGACGAUCAGAUACCGUCGUAGUCUUAACCAUAAACUAUGCCGACUAGGAAUCGGACGAUGUUAAUUUUUAAUGACUCGUUCGGCACCUUACG